AAUAACUGGGGUUGGGUUAGAUGAUACUCAUCUCUGAAAUCGCAGUCUAGAUUACGAAAACUGAAGUGGUAAUUCAUCAAGUCUCUUAAUCGAUCGAGAUGUUGGAGAAGAUCGGAUUGCCUGCAAAACCAUCACUUCGUGGAAAUAAUUGGGUGGUUGAUGCCUCACAUUGCCAAGGAUGUACCUCUCAGUUCACCUUCAUCAAUCGGAAGCAUCACUGUCGGCGCUGUGGUGGCUUGUUUUGUAAUAGUUGCACCCAGCAGAGAAUGUAUCUGCGCGGACAAGGUGAUUCACCUGUUCGUAUAUGUGAACCUUGUAAGAAACUUGAGGAGGCAGCUCGUUUCGAGAUGCGACAUGGAAACAAGAAUAGGGUCUCUAAAGGUAGUUCAAAACUGGCUGUGAAGGAUGAGGAUGAGGUUUUGAACCAGAUUUUAGGUACAGAUGGACUGCUAUCUAAUAAGGACUUGGGUUCCAGUGUGCAAAGAGCAACUAGCAGUGCUUCUUGUUCAAACAGUCAAGAUGGUACGGGAGAUAUGCAUAGAAGUAUUUCUGUUGAUGACCAAAAUCCAGCACAGAAUGAUAUUGUAUCUGCUAGUCCUGAGGAAUUACGCCAAAGGGCUGUGGAAGAAAAAAAGAAGUAUAACAUUCUGAAAGGAGAAGGGAAACCUGAAGAAGCUUUAAAAGCCUUUAAGAGAGGGAAGGAGCUUGAGAGGCAAGCUGAUACAUUAGAGAUGUCCUUGAGAAAAAAUCGUAAGAGAGUUCUGUCUUCUGCAAGUGCGGCAGAGAUCCAGAAUAAAGACAUCUUCAAAGAAUCUGGUAGAAAAAAUAAGCUAGUUCCAAAAGCAGGUGCAGAAAAGGAUGAUUUUGCAGCUGAGCUCAGGGAACUAGGGUGGUCUGACAUGGAUAUUCAACAUGAAGAUAAAAAAUCAGCAAGUAUGAGUUUGGAGGGUGAACUCUCUUCUCUUCUUGGAGACAUCUCUCAGAAGACUAGUAAAAGUACAGGUACUCAGGGCAUUGACAUGUCCCCAGUUGUUGCUCUUAAAAGAAAGGCACUGCUUUUGAAGCGUGAAGGGAAUCUUGCGGAGGCCAAGGAAGAACUAAAGAAAGCUAAAAUUUUAGAAAAGGAACUUGAGGAACAACAACUCUUGGCUGGGGCCGAAGAGUCUGAUGAUGAGCUAUCUGCAAUAAUUAAUAGUAUCGACGACAAUGAACAAGAUGACUUCUUAAUUGAAUAUGAGCAUCGAGCUAAAAUUGAUCACCUUGACGUCACUGCAGAUGAUCUUGGUAUUGACAGUAAUUUGGAAGUAACAGAUGAGGAUAUGGAGGACCCAGAAAUAGCUGCUGCCCUGAAAUCAUUAGGUUGGACUGAGGAUUCUGAUCAGGCUGACAACUUCGCUUUGCAGUCUGUUCAUGUGGACCGGGAAGCACUAUCAAGGGAAAUUCUUUCAUUAAAGAAAGAGGCCCUUAAUCACAAAAGGGCGGGUAAUGUUGCAGAGGCAAUGGCUCAGCUGAAGAAAGCAAAGUUACUUGAACAAGACCUAGAAAUUAUUCACACAGGUUCAACUUCUCAAGCUGAUGUGAAGUUAUCAAAGAAAACUAAGGUGGAUGAUAAAAGCACUGAAUUUACAAAAGAAGUGCAUUCCAAAGUUGCACCAAAGAGUAAAUUGAUGAUUCAGAAAGAGCUUCUGGGUCUAAAAAAGAAGGCUCUGGCUUUGAGAAGGGAAGGAAAAUUUGAUGAGGCUGAGGAAGAGCUGAAAAAAGGGAAAGUUCUUGAGCAUCAGCUGGAAGAGAUGGACAAUGCUUCAAAGGUGCAAGCUAUAGGUAAUAAGGAGCCAGAUUUGACAUAUGAGAGUUCUGUUGCAUCUGUUGAUCUUACAGUUGGAGAAGCUGAAGAUGAUGUAACAGACCAAGAUAUGAAUGAUCCAGCAUACUUGUCAAUUUUAAGGAAUUUAGGUUGGAAUGAUGAAGAUAACAGAUCUUCAAGUCAACCAUUAAAAUCUAACCUGAAGAGAAGCAAAGGAGAAAUCCAGAGAGAACUUCUAAAUUUGAAAAGAAAGGCCCUGGCUCUUAGGCGUAAAGGGGAAACUGAAGAGGCUGAAGAAUUGUUGAAAAAGGCAAAGGUACUAGAGGCUGAAAUUGAAGAACUUGAAGCCCCAAAGGAGAAUUUGCUUGAUGCUUCAAAGUACAAAAGCUCUGGGAGUUAUGAAUCAUUGAAAAACCAUGGCAAACAGGAGAAUCCGGUUCAUGAGGUGGGAGUGAAUACAGGACCAGCCCUGAUGGCAGUAGAUUGUAUUGACAACACCGUUGCAUCUUCACCGCUCGUUAAAAGCGAUGAUCCCUUGUUAGGAGAACUUGGUCCCUCUUGGGGAACUGAUGUUCCAGGCUAUAAAGGAGCAGCUGAGGGAAUUGCUUUUAUUCCUUCAGCAAGUCAGUCUUUGAACUCAGCGGAUUUGCUGACAGGAAACAACUGGACUAGUUCCCUAAUAACUUCUAGAAAACCAGAAGAUAAAGGAAACUUUGGUUCUGACAUUUCUUCUCUUAGAAAACCAGAAGAUAAAGGAAAUUUUGGUUCUGACAUUUAUUCUCUUGCAAGAUCGUCAGUUCAAAUGGAUUCCUCAACAAAUUUACUUGGAAAUCUAGUUCAAAAUGAUAAAAGAGAGGUGAUUCAAGCAAAUGGGAAUCCACUCAUUCAUGAAGCAAAUUCAGAGCAGGUACUUGCUUCUGAGAACCAGACUUCCCUGCGACAAGAAGUUUUUGCUCUCAAGAGGAAGGCACUUGCUUUAAAAAGAGAAGGGAAAUUACCAGAAGCAAGAGAAGAACUCCGACAGGCAAAGCUAUUGGAGAAGAAACUGGAGGAUGAUUGCGUCCAGCCCAAAAUUAGUCCAGCUGAUGUGUCAGUAACUGCAUCCAACCUUCCUUCUGUUGGACAAAAGGAGCAUCACAUGUCAAAUACGGCUCCAAAAUCAUUGUCUGCACGUGAUCGUUUUAAAUUACAGCAGGAAUCCCUCAGCCACAAACGUAAGGCCCUGAAGCUAAGAAGGGAAGGUCAAAUAGACGAAGCAGAAGCUGAGUUUGAAAUGGCAAAGAAUCUUGAAGCUCAGUUGGAGGAGAUGACUGCUAACGAUUCCAAGUCUUCUGUCAAUGAUGCAACACCAGCGGAUGGCAUUGUUGUGGAAGAUCUUCUUGAUCCUCAACUUUUGUCUGCAUUGAAGGCUAUUGGAAUAGAUGAUGCUAAUGCGGUGACACAACGCCCAAAAAGUCAAGAACCUAUGAAACAAGGUGCUGGUAAGAGUGAGAAUUUUGGCAAAGAGAGAAUUCAAUUGGAGGAAAGACCAGAGCCUCCAAACCGCAGUGCUAGAAAGAGUGAGAGCUUUAGCCAAGAGAAAAUUCAGUUGGAAGAACAAAUCAAGGCAGAAAAGAUGAAGGCAUUGAACUUAAAACGUUCAGGAAAACAGGCUGAGGCCUUGGAUGCCCUUCGUCGGGCAAAAUUAUUUGAAAGAAAAUUGAAUUCUUUGGCCUCAAAUUGAAGAAUCAAAGGAUAUAUUAUAUAAGAAAGUCUUUCUGAUGUUGACUCUGGUUGACACUACUGUAGGUGAGGUCGGUCAAUACACUACAUAUGAAGAUUGCUAGAAGAAUAGUGGGAUGCCUCCUGGGCGUUGUGCUGGGUUUUCCAUCUGUUUUCAUAAGAAGUGUGCUUUGCUGUUUGGGAUGCUGUAGAUAUGGAAACGAAAGGAGCCAAGGAAAGAUAUAUCAACAAAAGGCAAGUAACCUUUAUGUGGGUUUCUGCCAUCUGCUGUCAAAAUUCCUCCAAGCAUGACCACUGAUGGUGGUAGGUGACCACUAAAUCUGAUCGAAAGCUUUAGGAAUCUUACACUGAAUUGGAUGUGCGAAAUUCUGUUUUAUCAGAGAAACUUUCAGAUGGUGAAGCCGUGUGCAUGAAAUAAUCUGUGCUUGGUUUAUGGGAAAGAUAGAUUAAACAUAUAUGGGGGAAUGAUGGAGAUUAAUGAUCCCUAAAUUGCAUUGGAUGAUAUGUAUUCUCUCAUUCUCAGCAAACUUGAUGAAUGGAAGGGCAUAAUACCGGUUUGUCACAUUUCUUUAUAAUUGCCACAAGAUCUCGUUCUUUUUGUGUACAUAUUGAUGUAUAGUUUGUGAAUUUUAUUCUUUUGUGAAAGUUACCUGCUAUUAGUCAUGGUUCCUGUUUCUAUUACCAUAAUUUAUUGAAUUCUCAAUUUUACA
Mangifera indica (mango) is the source of this 4236-nucleotide RNA transcript. It is a transcript of the gene named putative WEB family protein At1g65010, chloroplastic, with no coding region annotated. NCBI's taxonomy places the organism in Eukaryota, Viridiplantae, Streptophyta, Magnoliopsida, Sapindales, Anacardiaceae. The record is from RefSeq and is a predicted model, not a curated record. The transcript is spliced from 8 exons.